GAUGAAGAACGCAGCGAAAUGCGAUAAGUAAUGUGAAUUGCAGAAUUCAGUGAAUCAUCGAAUCUUUGAACGCACCUUGCACCCUUUGGCAUUCUGAAGGGUAUGCUCGUUUGAGUGUCAUUGUACUCUCACACUCCCGAUCUUUGCAUUGGGAGCAGUGGACUUGGGUUUGCUGCUUCACCGUCGCUUACCUCAAAUAGGUUAGUGCAACUCUUGGUUGGACAUAGUACGGCGUGAUAAGUGUUCUUCGCCGGUGCCUCGCAAAGAGGGUGGCCGAUCGGGAUGUUGUGCUCCAAACCGUCUUCGGACAAUCUCUGACGACUUGACCUCAAAUCGAGUAAGACUACCCGCUGAACUUAAGCAUAUCAAUAAGCUGAGGA
RNAcentral lists this unclassified non-coding RNA (380 nucleotides) under soil metagenome. RNAcentral's name for it is "partial contains 5.8S ribosomal RNA, internal transcribed spacer 2, and large subunit ribosomal RNA". The stretch from base 1 to 120 matches the Rfam family "5.8S ribosomal RNA", at positions 35 to 154 of the family's 154-position model. The record is from RNAcentral.